This 265-nucleotide ribosomal RNA is filed under the name uncultured archaeon. Its description in RNAcentral is "partial 16S ribosomal RNA". It matches the Rfam family "Archaeal small subunit ribosomal RNA", at positions 715 to 982 of the family's 1478-position model. The record is from RNAcentral.
AGACGCCUACAUUAGAUACCCCCGUAGUCCUAGCCGUAAACGAUACUCGCUAGGUGUCGGCCACGGUGCGACCGUUGUCGGUGCCGUAGGGAAGCCGUGAAGCGAGCCACCUGGGAAGUACGGCCGCAAGGCUGAAACUUAAAGGAAUUGGCGGGGGAGCACAACAACGGGUGGAGCUUGCGGUUUAAUUGGAUUCAACGCCGGAAAUCUUACCGGGACCGACAGCAACAUGAAGGCCAAGCUGAAGACUUUGCCGGAUUAGCUG